Non-coding RNA from Pelobates cultripes (western spadefoot toad), 270 nucleotides. NCBI's taxonomy places the organism in Eukaryota, Metazoa, Chordata, Amphibia, Anura, Pelobatidae. The record is from the annotation of a GenBank genome assembly.
GAGGGAAUGACUGGUGACAGAGUGAGAGAGGGGGUGACUAGUGACCGAGUGAGGGAGGGAGUGGGUGACUAGUGACAGAGUGAGGAAGGGGGUGACACAGUGAUAGUCACCCCAUUCCUCCCUCUGUCACUAAUCACCACCUCCCUCACUCUCACUAGUCACACCCUCCCUCUCUCUGUCACUAGUCACACCCUUACUCACUGUCACUAGUCACACCCUUACUCACUGUCACUAGUCACACCCUCCCUCCCUCUGUCACUAGAGUGAGGG